Molecule: long non-coding RNA, 542 nt
Filed under: Anser brachyrhynchus (Pink-footed goose)
Lineage: Eukaryota; Metazoa; Chordata; Aves; Anseriformes; Anatidae
Description: lncRNA (ENSABRG00000020243.1)
Source: RNAcentral
GCCAUUUUGCCACAAGUGGGCAGUGAUUAACUGCUAAUUCAAAUCACAAGGCAGUCAACCUUCUAACCACUGGCUUGGCUUCACCGUCCUCAGCAUGUCCUUUUGUUGGACCUCCCUGACCAUCUGCUCUAGGAAGAAAUCCGGUAGCCAGAGGGAAUAGCUUCCAGACUGCGGGCAGGAGGACAGAAGAGCUGAAGUACGUGAGAUCUAAACCUGGAAGAUGACUGAGGCUCACACCUCAUUUGCUUCUCUGACCACUGCUGCUCACUGAACAGCUGUCUCCAGUGAUCUGUCCAUGAUGAUACAGCCAGUGCUACUUUAAUUUUGCUUGCAAAUAGGCAGCAACAGAUGGCACAAAGCAGAGUGGAGGAAAUGGAUUCAAACCAAUUCACUUGGAGAACGUAAGCCAAGCACAACCACAGGAUCAAACGUAGAAAUGGAGUGCAAGUUCGUCUACUGUUGGUCACCAUUUUUGAGGAAGCAGGUACUGUCAGAUCAUCUUCUCUUAUCUUUUUCAGCUGUUCCUCCAAGUCAGAAAGUAU